AAGUCGUAACAAGGUUUCCGUAGGUGAACCUGCGGAAGGAUCAUUCACAAACGAGUGUUUUAUGGCACUUUUUAAAAUCCAUAUCCACCUUGUGUGCAAUGUUGAAAAUUACCUUUCGAGGUGGUUUUUUUUCUUAAUAUCAACCAAUCUUAAUUAAUUUGUCUUAAUACCUUGAAUUUACUUAAUUCAAAAUACAACUUUCAACAACGGAUCUCUUGGCUCUC
RNAcentral lists this unclassified non-coding RNA (224 nucleotides) under Mortierella sp. RNAcentral's name for it is "partial internal transcribed spacer region". The stretch from base 1 to 46 matches the Rfam family "Eukaryotic small subunit ribosomal RNA", at positions 1786 to 1831 of the family's 1831-position model. Lineage: Eukaryota; Fungi; Mortierellomycota; Mortierellomycetes; Mortierellales; Mortierellaceae. The record is from RNAcentral.